Molecule: long non-coding RNA, 2617 nt
Filed under: Zea mays
Lineage: Eukaryota; Viridiplantae; Streptophyta; Magnoliopsida; Poales; Poaceae
Description: long non-coding RNA (ZMAY_LNC000881)
Source: RNAcentral
AUAAAUAUCAUAAAUGUACUUAUUACAUAGCGGAAGUCUUACAAAAAUAAAUGAUAAAAUAAAGCGAACUAUAUAUUAUUCCCUAGCGCCACAAAGCUGACUGGGAGACACCACCUAGAUCAAGUCAAAAGCCUCAGUGCUAGGCGGCUCCUCUUCGACCACCUGUUCUUCUCCUGUGGGGGUGUGAGACAGCAAGAGUGAGCUCACAUACGUUCAUAGCUCAACAAGUCAUGGGGAAUAAUGUGCAUGAACUCACCAAAGGUGGGAGUUCAUGUGAAGUGUAAGGCUGAUCAAAAAAAUAAAGGCUGAAGGUGAGCAUUGCUUUUAUAAGUUGGUCAAAAUUUUAUUAGCAGUUACUAAGUAUAAGUAAAUACCAAACCUUAAUAAUAAUAAAGAAACGUAAUAAAUAAAUAAUCCCAAUGCGAUGCAAAUGACAAAUUGAGUUCUAAUUCCAUAGAUUAAUCAUGUGAGGGUCCGAGCUGCUCAUGACCGUGAGCACGGCUAGUAUACCAAUUUUACACUCUGCAGAGGUUGCACAUCUUUACCCACAAGUCAUGUUACCCAGCUGCCAAGAGAUGACCAAUCCCAUACACCUCUACCGAUGAGGCGAGGCAGGCUAACACUACGAGGCCUUUACAAAGUUCCACUAGCUUCAGAAAACCCGCUACAAUUUAUAGGAAGCUCCAGUGCAGGAAUCCCUCGCCUGACUGCCAUCGCAACAAAAUCAACCUAAGGACCUCCCUACACUGACCACUCCCCUACUGCACUUGCCCCUUUUGGGUAAGGAAGUCAUCCCCUAGCUUUCCUAGUUAAUCAGCCAAGGGCAUCCCAUACUACCCUUGUGGUAGCACUGUUUUCCCGGGUGGUCGCGCCAUAUUCCCAUUAACAUAAUGAUCUUAACAUGAAUAGUAAUAAUAAACAGAGAAGGUGUAAUCAUGAAUAAUGUAUCUCCAUACCCAAAUCCACAUAAAGCAAUAGAAAGUACUACCCAAAAAUAUUUCAGUGAUAAACAAGGUAUAAAGAUAACCAAAACUGGGGUGACCUAAAUGAUCCCAUCAAAAUUAACCUAUGCAGAUCAUUAUGAAUAAUAAAGACAUGGCUGGGUAAAAAUAAGUGAUCAAGGGCAUAACUUGUCUGACACUUGAGAUUCCAGGUACCAACUUGCUUUUCAGAGGACUCGUGACCUCGCGCUAGUCGUGGCAAUACAUACAAACAUGGUAUAGGCAGAAUUAACAUCACACCAAACAUAAGAUCAAAAUAUAUAUUAAUAAUCUACAUAUUAAAAUAAGAUCAUAUGAAUUGGAAUCGUUAAAUUUGAAGUUAUAGAUUUUAAGUUAUGAAUUUCUAAAGGUUUUAUGUGUUUUUUACAAGAUUAAAUAGGAUACAAAUUUUAUUGUGAUAUUCAUGUCAAAACAGUGGUACUAAAUGAUAAAAAAUAAUAUUACAAAAUUAUAGGAAUUGGAAUGGAUUAAUUUGGACUUAAAAUGAAUUAAAUAUGAAUUUUCCAAGUUUCUAGAAUUAUUUUUGUAUUAAAAACCCAUUUCUAUAUCUAUUUCUCUAUUUUUAUUCUUCUCUGGACUGGGCGCACAAAAACUAGAAAAUGCAGGGGCUUCUUGCGGAAAAAUUCUCAAGACUCAGACUAUUCUGAGUUGGAUGGCGGGUUGAAUACUGGAAACUCGGGGUUUCUUUUGUAAAAUCUACGCAGCGAAGGGGUACGCGGCCAUCUGAACCACCCGAUCACUGAUCAAGGGCCCAGAUUAGAUUGCACAUCCCCGUGAACCGGUACGGCACAUGGGCCGAUGGAUCAGAGAUCUACGCCUGAUAUCUAUCCACGCCACUUAUCAGAUCAGGGCCCCCAGAUCCGCGAUCGACGGUCUAGAGUGAAGCAUCGAACCGGUAUGCGUAGAUUUAAUCUCGCGCUUCUAUUCCAAUCGGACGGACUAUAUAUAAUCUGAAAUCGCUCUAACCUUAGUCGCUGGCCCAAAAUCCAAUGGCUAGGUGCCUAUCUUCUUUCCCCAUGCCAUUCUGCCGCCCAUCCGACAGACGGCGCGACCCCAUUCACGGCAGAGGCAUCACCGGGGUUCAACAAUCCCACGACUAGGCACCCAAAAUCAUAGCUAAUCCCGAGAUUUACAAAGAGGGGGAACAAGCGAGCCUGCUGGCGACAUUCUCACCGGCAAUCGGGUGGCACAGAGACCGGACCACGGCGAGGCGCGGGUGUGAGGCCGAUGCACACACCGACGAGCGAUUUCGGUUGCCUUUCUCCCUUGGUGAGACCCCAAGCACGCGCAGAGCUUCCCAGGGAAACCCACAUGACCCGCUCGAGGUUCCCAUGUUGCCGUAGCCACAAAUCACUGACAGCGACCACCUCUGCCCAGUUCUUGCAACCACGGCGGCCCUCGGCUUCCACUCACUCUCUCUCUCUCCGCUCUCUCCCUCAUAGUUCUGUUCGGCCACCGAUGUAGACUCUCCUGAAGCUGGGUGUGGGACAGAUUUGAGGAGAGGAACGCGCAGCGAAGCUCCUUAUAAGGUCACGGGCGAUAGAGCCGCGCCAGAUCGAAUCCCCAAUGAUGCGGUCAAAUUAGUUGCGAUUCUCUCAAUGUCGCGGCAAUGGUUU